This 477-nucleotide ribosomal RNA is filed under the name uncultured bacterium. RNAcentral describes it as "bacterial SSU rRNA". It matches the Rfam family "Bacterial small subunit ribosomal RNA", at positions 32 to 519 of the family's 1533-position model. The record is from RNAcentral.
AAUCAACGCUGGCGGCGUGCCUCAGACAUGCAAGUCGAACGAUUAAAGCUCUCUUCGGAGAGUGUAUAGAGUGGCGCACGGGUGAGUAACACGUAAGUAAUCUACCCUCGAGUGGGGAAUAACAACCGGAAACGGUUGCUAAUACCGCAUAAUGCAGCGGCACCGCAAGGUGACAGUUGUUAAAGAUUUAUCGCUUGAGGAGGAGCUUGCGGCAGAUUAGCUAGUUGGUAGGGUAACGGCUUACCAAGGCUACGAUCUGUAACCGGUCUAAGAGGACGGUCGGUCACACUGACACUGAAUAACGGGUCAGACUCCUACGGGAGGCAGCAGUCGGGAAUUUUGGGCAAUGGGCGAAAGCCUGACCCAGCAACGCCGCGUGAAGGAUGAAGUAUUUCGGUAUGUAAACUUCGAAAGAAUAGGAAGAAUUAAUGACGGUACUAUUUAUAAGGUCCGGCUAACUACGUGCCAGCAGCCGCG